Molecule: ribosomal RNA, 492 nt
Filed under: uncultured bacterium
Lineage: Bacteria
Description: partial 16S ribosomal RNA
Rfam family: Bacterial small subunit ribosomal RNA
Source: RNAcentral
AGUGAACGCUGGCGGUAGGCCUAACACAUGCAAGUCGAACGGCAGCACAGUAAGAGCUUGCUCUUACGGGUGGCGAGUGGCGUACGGGUGAGGAAUACAUCGGAAUCUACUUUUUCGUGGGGGAUAACGUAGGGAAACUUACGCUAAUACCGCAUACGACCUACGGGUGAAAGCAGGGGAUCUUCGGACCUUGCGCGAUUGAAUGAGCCGAUGUCGGAUUAGCUAGUUGGCGGGGUAAAGGCCCACCAAGGCGACGAUCCGUAGCUGGUCUGAGAGGAUGGUCAGCCACACUGGAACUGAGACACGGUCAAGAGUCCUACGGGAGGCAGCAGUGGGGAAUAUUGGACAAUGGGCGCAAGCCUGAUACAGCCAUACCGCGUGGGUGAAGAAGGCCUUCGGGUUGUAAAGACCUUUUGUUGGGAAAGAAAAGCAGCAGGUUAAUACCCCGCUGUUCUGACGGUACCCAAAGAAUAAGCACCGGCUAACUUCGUG